UUUAACUCAUGUUACUCUUGAGCUAGAUGGAAAAUGCCCUGCUAUAUUUGAUCACCUUUCCAAUCCUUCAGAUUUUAAGAUGGCAGUGAAAAGAAUAGCAGGAGCAAAAUGGGGAACCUGUAGUGGACAAGCAUGUAUAGGAAUUGAUUAUGUGAUUGUUGAGGAGAAGUUCUCAUCUGAAUUGAUAGAACUAUUAAAGAAGUUCAUCAAAAAAAUUUAUGGUGACAACCCUGUAGAGUCAAAGGUACUGUCAAGAAUAAUAAAC
Molecule: long non-coding RNA, 265 nt
Organism: Cicer arietinum (chickpea)
Lineage: Eukaryota; Viridiplantae; Streptophyta; Magnoliopsida; Fabales; Fabaceae
Source: RefSeq, a predicted model, not a curated record